This 257-nucleotide long non-coding RNA is filed under the name Elaeis guineensis (African oil palm). RNAcentral describes it as "long non-coding RNA (EGUI_LNC029219)". The record is from RNAcentral. Lineage: Eukaryota; Viridiplantae; Streptophyta; Magnoliopsida; Arecales; Arecaceae.
UCCCCUCCCUUCACUCCAAGCCUCUCCAAUUUCCACCUAAUUCCAAAUGUCCUUAUUCCUUCCCCUCCUCCCCUCCUGCGUUUCUUUUGCUGCCUAUAUUUAAUGUGAGUUGGUGCAGAGCUUGGAAACGGAAGGCUGGCCGACUCAUUCAGCGAAGCCAAAGGGGCGGCUUUCCUCAGUUUUGACUCCCAAAACUCCAAUCCAAUUCAUCCAUUCUAAAUAUAAACGCCCUUCCUCUUCUUAUUCACCUCCCUUCC